Long non-coding RNA from Columba livia (rock pigeon), 370 nucleotides. RefSeq lists it as uncharacterized. Lineage: Eukaryota; Metazoa; Chordata; Aves; Columbiformes; Columbidae. The record is from RefSeq and is a predicted model, not a curated record. The transcript is spliced from 3 exons.
CUGGGGUCUCAGCCCCUCAGGCGCUGCUUGUCCUUCCAGCCGCUGUCCUGGCAGAGCCUGGUGCCCAUCCCGACAUCCCGGUUCCUUUGCAGAAACCAGUUGGAGUGGAAUGUCCUGGCCAGGCCUGAUGCAGAGGUGUGGUUGCCUGCCAAUCACCUUACAAGCAAGCCAGCCUGCUGGCCGGCUUGGUGCCAAGAACGGUGUCACCAGGCUGGAUUUGGGCUGGGUGAGCAGGUACACUCAGCUCCAGGAUCUGAAAUGUCUCCUUGAUGUGAUGGGGCUCUGGGACCCCUGUUGCUUUGAGUCUCAUCAUCCUCUGGGGUUGCUCAUGCAACACUGGCUGCACACAGCGUAAGUUAUCCGGAGCAUC